UACGUAGGGUGCGAGCGUUGUCCGGAAUUAUUGGGCGUAAAGAGCUUGUAGGCGGUUUGUCGCGUCUGCUGUGAAAACCCGGGGCUCAACCCCGGGCCUGCAUUCGAUACGGGCAGACUAGAGUUCGGUAGGGGAGUCUGGAAUUCCUGGUGUAGCGGUGAAAUGCGCAGAUAUCAGGAGGAACACCGGUGGCGAAGGCGGGACUCUGGGCCGAUACUGACGCUGAGGAGCGAAAGCGUGGGGAGCAAACAGG
RNAcentral lists this ribosomal RNA (253 nucleotides) under uncultured bacterium. RNAcentral describes it as "partial 16S ribosomal RNA". It matches the Rfam family "Bacterial small subunit ribosomal RNA", at positions 524 to 776 of the family's 1533-position model. The record is from RNAcentral.